GCUGGAGAGUCCUGGCUGAGGUCCGCAGAUGUUUGGUGCAUGUUGAGUUCUCUUAAAACAGAAAAUCCACCAGGGUGCUUCUUCCAGGCCCGUAGACACGCCUGCCUUUUCUUCCCUACUGCCUGUAUUCACAACCGAACCUGACCCACCGCUUCACCCGAACUUCCAUACUGUUGUGUUUUCCCUCCAGCCCCAGCGGAUUGGAUGGAUUCUGAAGGCGGGUCCGCCUCUUUUCUACAUGCUGGUUGGCGAAGCUGACCUCCAAGGGCGGUGCCGCGCCGGGGCCAGUUUGCUCCUGGGAUUGGCUGACGUGGUGGUUCCGCCGAGGCGUGGUAGGAAGUGGUAGCCGUCAAUCACGAGGGAGACUCCAAACAGUGAGCCUGGAGCUGGAGAACAGCGUUUACCGGCGGAGCGGCCGGUCUUAUGAAUGAAACCAUGGCUACAGAUUCUCCUAGAAGACCCAGUCGCUGCACUGGUGGAGUUGUGGUCCGCCCUCAGGCCGUCACGGAGCAGUCCUACAUGGAAAGCGUUGUGACUUUUCUGCAGGAUGUCGUGCCACAGGCUUACAGUGGGACACCCCUAACGGAAGAAAAGGAGAAGAUAGUUUGGGUCCGGUUUGAGAAUGCAGAUCUGAAUGAUACAUCACGGAAUCUAGAAUUUCAUGAACUGCAUAGCACGGGAAAUGAGCCUCCUCUGCUGGUUAUGAUCGGCUACAGUGACGGAAUGCAGGUGUGGGGCAUCCCUAUCAGCGGGGAAGCCCAGGAGCUCUUCUCUGUUCGACAUGGUCCAGUCCGAGCAGCUAGAAUCUUGCCUGCUCCACAGUUGGGUGCUCAAAAGUGUGAUAACUUUGCUGAGAAAAGACCUCUUCUUGGUGUUUGUAAGAGCAUUGGAUCUUCAGGCACGACGCCACCAUACUGCUGUGUGGAUCUGUACUCACUUCGUACGGGGGAGAUGGUCAAGUCCAUUCAGUUUAAAACGCCCAUUUAUGAUCUUCAUUGUAAUAAGCGGAUCCUCGUCGUAGUCCUGCAGGAGAAAAUCGCUGCCUUCGACAGCUGUACUUUCACAAAAAAAUUUUUUGUCACAAGUUGUUAUCCUUGUCCUGGGCCAAACAUGAAUCCUAUUGCUCUUGGGAGCCGUUGGCUUGCUUAUGCAGAAAAUAAGCUGAUUCGCUGUCACCAGUCCCGUGGCGGAGCCUGUGGAGACAACAUUCAGUCUUACACUGCCACUGUCAUUAGUGCUGCUAAAACACUGAAAAGUGGCCUGACGAUGGUUGGGAAAGUGGUGACUCAACUGACAGGCACACUGCCCUCAGGAGUGACAGAUGAUGACAUAGCCAUACACUGCAACUCAAGACGGAGCCCCUUGGUGCCGGGCAUCAUCACAGUCAUAGACACUGAGACAGUUGGAGAGGGCCAGGUGCUUGUGAGUGAGGAUUCAGACAGUGAUGGCAUUGUGGCCCACUUCCCUGCCCACGAGAAGCCAGUGUGCUGUAUGGCUUUUAAUACAAGUGGAAUGCUUUUAGUCACAACAGAUACUCUUGGCCAUGACUUUCAUGUCUUCCAAAUCCUGACUCAUCCUUGGUCAUCCUCACAGUGUGCUGUCCAUCACCUGUAUACACUUCACAGGGGAGAGACCGAGGCCAAAGUUCAGGACAUCUGUUUCAGCCAUGAUUGUCGUUGGGUGGUGGUCAGUACCCUCCGGGGUACUUCCCACGUUUUCCCCAUCAACCCUUAUGGUGGCCAGCCUUGUGUCCGCACACACAUGUCACCGCGAGUAGUGAAUCGCAUGAGCCGUUUCCAGAAAAGUGCUGGGCUGGAAGAGAUUGAACAAGAGCUGACAUCUAAGCAAGGCGGCCGCUGUAGUCCUGUCCCAGGCCUGUCCAGCAGCCCUUCCGGCUCCCCGCUGCAUGGGAAGCUGAGUAGCCAAGACUCUUACAAUAACUUUACCAACAACAACCCUGGCAACCCCCGGCUUUCUCCCCUCCCCAGCUUGAUGGUAGUGACACCUCUUGCACAAAUCAAGCAGCCAAUGACAUUGGGGACCAUCACGAAACGAACAGGGCCUUAUCUCUUUGGAGCGGGGUGUUUUUCCAUAAAAGCUCCAUGCAAAGUUAAACCGCCUCCACAAAUUUCUCCAAGCAAAUCGAUGGGCGGGGAGUUUUGCGUGGCCGCAGUGUUUGGGACCUCCAGGUCGUGGUUUGCAAACAAUGCUGGUCUGAAACGGGAAAAAGAUCAGUCCAAACAAGUUGUGGUUGAAUCUCUUUAUAUCAUCAGUUGCUACGGGACCUUAGUGGAGCACAUGAUUGAGCCUCGGCCUAUCAGUACUGCUCCCAAGAUAAGUGACGACACACCACUGGAGAUAAUGACCUCACCUCGUGCCAGCUGGACACUUGUCAGAACGCCUCAGUGGAACGAACUGCAGCCACCAUUCAAUGCGAAUCACCCCCUGCUCCUUGCGGCAGAAGCAGUGCAGUAUUACCAGCUCCUGCUGGCCGGCUCACUUCCCCCUGGAAGUCCUGGCCCCAUUACUCGACAUGGGUCCUAUGACAGUUUAGCAUCUGACCACAGCGGACAGGAAGAUGAAGAAUGGCUAUCCCAGGUUGAAAUUGUGACACACACUGGACCCCACAGGCGCCUAUGGAUGGGUCCACAGUUCCAGUUCAAAACCAUCCACCCCUCAGGCCAGACCACGGUCAUAUCAUCUAGUUCUUCUGUGUUACAGUCUCAUGGACCUAGUGACACACCACAGCCGCUCUUGGACUUUGAUACAGAUGAUCUAGAUCUUAACAGCCUCAGGAUCCAGCCGGUCCGCUCUGACCCAGUCAGCAUGCCAGGGUCAUCCCGUCCAGUCUCUGAUCGAAGGGGAGUUUCCACCGUGAUCGAUGCUGCCUCAGCUGUCCCUGAAGCAGCGACCUUGUCAGCCCACUGAGGUCUCUCUGCAGACUCUGGCACACAUCUGAAGGAAGUGGACCAAGAGCAGCUUUGUUACUCCAGACAAAGUGCUAAAAGAAACAGAAAGAAACAGCAGAGAAAAACCACACGACAUCUCGUGUACCCCAGAUCCUUUGGAUGUUUAAUGUGCAGUUUCAACAAGGGACACCCCUGAGUAAUACCUCACCUUCAAGACUGCAGCCGUGUUAAACAUAUGGGCUCGAGUUCCAUCCCUUGGAAACCAGCAGCUGUUCUCAGCUUGCCAACCCCAAGUAAACAUCGCCUGUGUAGAAGAGUGAGUCUGGAAUGGUUGAGUAAAAACCCAAAAGCUGUUUAGGGAGGAAGCAGGGAAAAAAUUAACAACAAUAAAAGGCCACCCUGAAACAACAGCUAGAAGAGAAAGAAAAUUCCAUUCCGAUAAGCAUGUUUUCCUGCCCUCCUUACACUAUGCUGUGGGGUACAGAUGGCCCCAGAGCAACUUCAGUUUUAAAAGGUUUGGAGGCGACCUUGUCUCCUUACUGAAAACCAUACGAUUGUCUCAGUUACAGUGAUUAUUUAAUAAAAUAUAAUUAUCUGAAUAAUUCAUUUAUUUGACUACUCGUCUGUGUCCUCCAGCCACAGAGGCCAGAAUGCCAAAGAUCAAGUAGAUUGGGAAAAUAGGAAAAUUCUCAUUAUAAAGACGAAGGGUGGAGGGAAAGGAUGGGAUACUUGGAAUUUCAACGCCGUGGUUUCUAUUUAUCUGAAAUGUCAAGGGCAGUGUAAAAUGUAUUUUUAAAAUGUGUUGCUGUGUGGUUUGUGCCCAUUCUUGGCAUGGCUAUGGUUCUACAGAGGCCAUUGUUCUUUGAGGAGUAUGAGGGGGUGUCUUUGUCCAAUGUGACAAAGAGAGGACUGAGAGGACUGGGCUCCCUUUGUUCCUGUGCGGUGCUGUAAAAGUUGGUUUGAAAUUAGGACCUCAGGGAAGGACCUUCAAUAGAGAGCUUUCAUUUCCUGCCAGCAUUUUAAUCACUGUGGGGUUUAAAGUGGAUGGCCAGCCAGCAUAAUGGCCCUAUGUCUAAUAGAACAGCUUGUAUUUUGAAGGCCAGUGAAGGGGUCUGUCAUCCGCCCAAUAUUCAUCUUCUGUUUCCUGUCCAUUUAUGAAGACCUCCCACCCUUUAGGUGGCUCUUGCACCAUUUUGUAGUGGAACCACUGCGGUUGCUUCUUUAAAGCGGCUGAGUUGGGGUGAAAGCGAUGCAGCCAGCAUCCGAGGUGGGACAGGUGCUAAUUAGACCCAGAGUUGGCAGAUGUCCCCAUCAGUUUCAAGAAUAAAGAUUUUGCCAAAGUAUAGAACAAUAGAAAGGCUAAACUGUAACCCUGUCUCUUCAGAAUUAUUAGCACUGAUUGACUCAAUAGGCAUCAAGUCACUGCCCCAGUGGAAGGUGGUGUCCAUAGUAAAUGUCCAUGAAGACGAGGGUUUCCCUCUUGUACAAGGCAUGAGCAGUGUCUCUCUUAUGAUGGCUUGUUGACUCUUGAAGCCUCCUUCAGGGAGCCAUUUAGAAUUUUACCCUCACAGUGUGUUCAGUUAUUCAGUACUCUUAACAGAGUGAAUGCUGGGGACAAGCUUUGAAAGAAAGAGCCAGCAUUAAAAGGCGAUGCUUAUAAAUAUGUGCACUAUCAUGAGCCUAUAACCUAGCUACUAGAAAGCGGAAGGCAGUAGUAUCACAAGUUCAAAGACACCCUGAGGUACAAAAGAAGACCUAUUCUCAAGAGAAAAAAUGCCAAGAGGUAAUAGUGCAUCACCCAUCACUCAGGAGGCAUAAGGAGGUAGAUCUCCAAGUUCGAGACCAGCCUGGUCUACAGAGUAAGUUCAAUGAUAGCCAAAGCCACACACACACACGGGGGUGGGGGGUGUUAGUGGGUAGAGACACAUGGCACCAAGCCUAGUGAGCUCAGCUUGAUCUUUGGGACUUCUGCAAGUUGUUCUCUGACAUCCACUGGCACAGUGCCAUGAUGUGCAUGUGUACGUACAUACAUACAUGUGUACAUACAUACAGUGUAAGAGAAAAAUAAAGAGGGAAAAUCUGAAUGUCUUCAGUAAUGUCUUGCCUUGUGGCCAAGAGUCAGGUAAGCAAAAGCCUCAGUGCCACUAACUCAGCAUGUUGAACACUAGUCACUGAACGUUCUCUGUGACCAGCUGUUACAGAGGAUCACAAGGUGUUUUUCUAGCUGAGUAAUUAAUUACAUACUGAAUGCCUGGACCUGAAGGACCUUCUCAGCUCCUAGUACCCCUAGCCAUCCCUCAGCCAGAAGUGCCUAGGGAGAUGGAGAUCCCAUUUUCUCAGGACUUCCUUCUUUCAAAGUAAAGAUGGGUUUCUCACCGAACGAUGAAGGGAUAUAUAGCCCCCAUUCUUCAAAAGUAAAAGGAUUUGCUCACUGCCUGUCUGUCAUGGGUCAUUGGUUCCUCCUUACCCUGAAGAGAGAAGGGGAGGGUCAUUGAGGAGACCUUCUCAUGUCCUCAGAGGAUCCCCUCAGCUCUACCUCUCUCUCUGUAAUCAAAAGCCAUUGCCUGCUUUGGUUGUGAUACAUAUGGUCACCAAAGGUCAUCUCCCUAUUCCUUGUAUUUGUGAUUGAAGGCUGUUGAAAUCCAGUUUCAGGGUAUGAACAAGAUAGCUGCACCAACACAGGAUGUGAAUCCAGUUUCCCAGCAACCAUGGACAAACCUUGUUGUGGCAACGUGGCCCUCUAAUCCCAGCACCAAUUGUGGGGUUUUCUAGCCACCAGCCUUGCCAAAAACUGACAAGCUCCAGAUUCAGUGAGUGACUCCAUAUGGAAUAAGGCAGAGAACAACCAGUGUAGAGUUGCAAUUUCUUCCUCUUCACAUAUACAUGCUAUGCGUAUGAUCACAUCCUCAUACACACGUGUACCACAUACAUAUGCACACACUGUAAGUAUAUUUGUUAGGUAUGUGUGUGUAUGUGUUCUUAAGGUGCUCCAGAGAUCGCCCAGUGGUAGUCCAGGCACAAGAACAUGUGUUCAGUCCCCAUAACCCAUCUGUGAAAUGCUGAGCAUUGUGGUAACCUUGCCCAGGGGAAGCAGAGACAGAGCUCUGUAGCUCACUAGCCAGCCAGUGUAGCCUACUCAGUGAGUUCCAGGCCAAUGAAAGGCUCUGUCCCAAGCACAAAACAAAGCAGGUAGACUGCUCAAUCCCUUAGGAAUGACAUAGGUUGUCAUCUAACCUCUGCGCACACAAAUGUGCACUUACACACAUGCAAAUCAGUCUAUGUUAAAAAUAAAAUAUAGCCAGGUGGUGGUGGUACACGCCUUUAAUCUCAGAACUCAGGAAUCAGAGGCAGGUGGACAAGCUCAAGGCCAGUCUUGUCUACAAAGCUAAUUGCAAUACACAAAGAAACCCUGUCUAAAAGGAUGAUAGAUAGAUAGAUAGAUAGAUAGAUAGAUAGAUAGAUAGAUAGAUAGAUAGAUAGAUAGAUGAUAGAAAAAAGAUAUGGAUGUUGUAAUACAUACAUGAUGGAUGGAUGGAUGGAUGGAUGGAUGGAUGGAUGGAUGGAUGGAUGGAUGGAUAGAUCCAUAGAUAUGGUUUUCAGUACUGGGAGCCUCUUCUCUGGUCUCUUUGACUUCAUUCCUCCUGUCUCUGGCUGCAAUUGUCCUGGUAUCCAAGUUGACCCCCUUUGUGUUAGCCUCCCUCGGAUGAGUAGCUUCUGGAAAACUAAUGUGAAUUGAGUGUUGCUCCCAGUAAGAGCAGCAGGCUGAAUAGCAUGCUGUGCCAGAGUAAAGGUGGCUGGGGAGAGCAGGCAGGCUCUCCCAAGGUCGGUCUUGCAUAAGUGCCUUGGUCUAGUAGAAAUUUGCAGUGUUAGACUGAGGAUGUUCUCUCUUAGUUCAUCCCCCCCCCCCCAAAAUGCCCCUGACAUUUCAGCCAAGGGACUAUCAUUGUCUUCAUAGCCGUCUGCUCCCACACAGAAAAUGCUGUGAUCAACUACUCAACAGUUCCUGUAUGACUCAGAGUAUGUUUGCUGGGUUAAAUGUUUGGGCAUAGGUUUAAAGAGAAAGCUGCCCACCAGAGCAGGGCCUUGGCAUCAAGAGUGUUGCCAAAGACUUGACUAUAAUCCAUUUCAUUCACUGUUACAGUUUGCUGUGUGGGUGUUUCCACAAUGUGGGAAACUCACUUCAUUGAAGAGUCUGAAUAUUUUGUAAGGAUGUGAAGAUUAUGAAUACUCUCUGAGACCAUGAGGAGGAACAAAGCAGCUAAUGUUAGUAAGAACUGGGAUACUGUUGUUCUCCACCAUUUGUAGGACUCAAUAAGAAUAUUCUAGACUUGACAGAUUUAUAUGCUCAACUUGCUCCUUAAAGAUUGUAUAUAUGGUAACCUGGGAAGAGCUCUGUUGUAUGGGAAACGCAUCUUUGUUGACACUUAAGUAGUUCUAACAUAAGAAGGUGCAUCAAUGAAACCAACACUAUCUAGAAAGAAGAAAGUUCUUUGUCUUGAGCUACCUGGACUCAUCUGUGGUGGGAGCAUGAACACCAUGAGGCAGCUGGAAUGUCAACUUUACUGCUGUGACACAGUGAGACUGUGGUGGAUCUCCAGGUUCAGGCUCAGCACCUCUUGUAAACCACCGUGGGAAACGUAUUGGCUUUGUGGUUGCCCCUUUUGUAGCCAGUAGCAUUUGGCUGGCUUUGUUUCUCCAGGCUCCCUCCAAGAGGUUUACCAAUAUCUCUAUGUUCUUCACCCGCUUCUUGUCCCCAUUCUUUCCAGAUGGGUAAUCCCUGCUUUAUUGUAUGUGUACAGGUGCUCUUACAUUCAGAACAGAAUCCUAGCUCAAUAGAAAUGUCUUUGAUGCAGAUUUGUCUAACCAUAGGAAAUUUAAAGCAGGCUAGUGCCAUGACUAUCUUACCUCAGGUUUCUGCAGAGGAUGUUUCUUUUUUGCUGUUGCUUUAUUUUUCUUUAUUUGAAAUAGGGGUCUUACUCUGUUGGCGCCAAACUGGCCUCAAACUCAUUAUGUGGCCCGACCUGCUGUAAAACACACAGCCCAGGCUCUCCAGUGCCUCUCGGUUUUUAAAAAGUAAUGAACAUUGGGAAAUCAUCAUUAUAGACAGAGGGACAGAGAAGAGAUUAAAAUUCACAGAUUUAGAGUUUUCAGGUUAUGGUUUAAUGCAGCAUGGGUGCAGAUCUGGACUCCCAGCAGGUAGGAAGGAAACAGCCAGAAGAGAAUUGAAUGAGGUAUUCAAGUCUGCCUCUGCCCUUCUGUAACUGCCCCAGUGUUACAAGAAAGACCUGAACUGAUGUGGCAGGAGGCAGUGAGGACCAGUGAGGAGGGAGGGCAGCGGAGACUCCCAGACUGGAAGGCAAGGAGAGUAGGGGCCUCCAGUGAUGGCUGAACUCAGGAAGUUCUUUGAGAAAUUCUGUAAACCUCUCGAGGCUCCUUCUAAAGCCAGUUCCAAAGCUUAUUCCAACUAUAGGGACAUUUUAAUAGACUGUCUUUAGAAUUAACUCAUUAGUGGCUUUUCUGGAAAAGGCUAAAAGGUAAGUACUCAGACGAGUGUGCCCUGAUAACUGUGUGCUAACGGUGAGCAGCAUCUAGCAGGAGCCGAGGCGUUGGCUUCAUCUCAGACUUCCCACCUGCAUGUACUUCAGGCACAGCCCACCCUCAAGAAACAGCCCACACAACGAACGGUGAAGUGCCUUCCAGUAACAGAUGGAAAUUAACGGACUAAUCGGGAGAGCUGGAGAGCUGGAGCAGAUAAGCAGAAAAUAUAAGUAACCAGGAUUAAUUUCACAUAUUGUCUAUUAUUCUUGUUCCCUUAAUCAGUCCUUGAGUUGAUCUAAUUCUUUUCAGCUUAGGGAGCUGGCUGAGCUCCCUGAGAAUCGGGGACAGGGAUAAAUUUCACCUAUACCCAGUGCUUUAACUCUCAUGAGAGGGAGCAGGCAUCUUCUGGAGUGCAGUGGUAGGAGAGGCUGUGUCAGGAGUCACCGGGAUCACAGGACCAAUACAAUAGCUAGCUUGUUGACUCUUGCCCUGAGUAGGGAGCCUACAUUCAACACUUCAUGUCUCCAUUAUUUUCAUUUUUAUUUACUUUUCUGCUUAUUUUAUUUUUGAGAUGGGGUAUUGCUGUGCUGUCCAAGUUGUCCUUGAACUCCUUGGCACAGGCGGUCCUCCCACCUCAGCCUCCUGAACACUUGAGACGUCACUACGCCCUGUGUUCAGUCUCGUGUUUCGGGGAGCAUCUAAACUAGAGGACACGUAGUUCCCUCCUAGGUCUUUAGCAAUUUUAUUGAUGUAUCACUUGAGAUCCCUCUAAGUGUCAGACCCCUCCAUGGAGUGGAGCCAGCAUCCCCUGUGCUGGUGAUGCCGAGAGGUGCCUCUUUACGUGGGUUUAGGGUACUCAAUGGCAAACUGAAAUGGCUAUGUUUGAGGUAAGGAUGGAAGUGUGCCUUCUGUACUCCGUCCUCACAUUGUACUAGCCCGUCAGUUCUGUUCACUCAGGCUCCAGCCAUCGUAAAUGCCAUCUCUAAAAGCAAUAAUUUUCAACCUGGACUCAAUACAGGAAUUUCACAAGGAUUCCAGAAAGCCCCCAUUCCUAGUGUGCACUCAGGUUGAUUUGUUUGUUUAAUGUGUUUGGUGUUUUGCCUGCAUGUGAAUAUGUGUACCACGUGUGUAUGGUGGAAAACUACCAUUAGCUUUUAACAAUGUCUUCCACAUUGAUGAUAGGAAAAGUCUAGAUUCCUAAAAAGAAUAGAUUGCUUUUCCACCUGGCCAGCUUCCAGUCUCUGUGAUGGUUUGGAAGCAUUUGUGAGGAAUAUUGUGCUCAGAAGUUACUGUGGCUCAGACAAUUUGGCUUGCCCCCAUAAUGUAAAUUAUAUGCACCCUUUCUUGAGAAAGAAAGAUAAACAGGAAGUAAGAGCGGAAGCACUCUUCAUCCCAUCCUGGUUAUUUGACCCACCGAAGGAAUGGGUAAAUCCUGGACACACUCCAAAUUUCCACAUUUUUAUUCCAUUAGGUUUUUGUUUUGUUUUGUUUUCAGACUUGGUGCCAUUAACCAGAUUCCUCGGAAGAGGGGGGUCUGCUUGAGAAAGGUUUUCCUUCAUCAUGUACCAUCCCAGGCUGCUUUGCCUGUAUUCACCUACGCCUUCCCUCCCUUCUGUUCCUUAAUGUGGUUGUAAAACACCCUAGUUAUAUGUUCAGAUGUCAGGCUUCUUUAAACAUAUAUUGGUGGCAGACCUCAUGCUAUCACUGAGACUUUCACGGUUUUGUGUGGAUGCUGCCAUAAGAAGUCCCUGAUGAUUUAGGUAGAGUUUGUGGAUUAUCUGACCUUGUCCAAGUCGUUCCCCCUUUAAUAUUGUGGUUUCAGUCCAUCCAUGGCAUCACAAUAUUGAACCACCCACGACAAGGAGAGCCCAGGCAAUUAAAGGAGGAAACGUCCAGAUUAAAACUGGCUUUACCCUCAUUGGUUUAUCAAGCCUUUCUCCAUUUCUAUCCUCUCCUAUUUCCCUGUGGGUGGGCCACUGUGAAUCCAUUACUACAGUGGCUACUGCUAGUAACAUUCCAAAAAUCAGGCCAUGUGUUAGCUGGAGACUUGAGACUGAGGAUUUUCUUCAGAUUGUUGCGAUUAGUUUAAAUUCUUGUAACAAGGUAGAAAAUAGCCCAGCUUUUUUCUUAUUUUCUGUUCUUAGAGCCAGAGAAAAGGGCCUUUUGCAAUGCUGGGCAUUGAAUUCAGGGUCUCUCACAUGUUGUGCAAGUGUUCUAACCAGUGAACUGCACCACCCAGCCCAAGAAGAAAAGACUCUUGAGACCUUCAUCUGCUCAGUGUCUGAUAAAGUUUAUGGAAAUACACUCCUGCAUGCAAAGCUACAAAGAGAAGUUGCAUUGCAUUUUCAUUAUUUUGCUACUGGUCACUUCUCACUAAAGAGGGUCAGCAUCAGGUCUGCCCAGUAUUUGAGAAAGCCUGGCAUUUUUUGUUAGGCAAGAAAGAUGUCCGGCUGAUAGGCUUAAUGUCUUCGUUCUAUUCUCCUAAUUUGUUUGUGAUAAAACAGCUGCUUCUUGGGGACUGGAGAGAUGGCACCACGAUCAAGAGUACACAUGCUUCUUGCAGAGGACCCAAGUUUGGUCCCCUGUACACACAUCAGGUAGUCACAACUGUCUGCAAAACCCCCAUCCCCAAUAUAUACAAGUGCACGUGAUUUUUAUAAAAUCUUUCUAAAAAGCCACCUCUUAUAUUAUGUGAUAACAUCUCAGGUCUCCAUGUGCUGUGAGAACAGGAGCUCAGCUAGGAUUGCCAUGGGUCCCAAUGUACCUAUGCCCUGGUUUCAUUUGUUGUGCCAGGGUGGAUAUGUCCUUCCUACUACUUCCUGCCCCAGGGAACUUAAAAAAGAAUUACUACUGUGUGUGACUGACUGUCCUGUUGUUGUGUUAAGAUACCUCUAGACAGACCAGCUUGAAGAAGAAGGUUCAUGUUGCUUUACCCUACCAGAAAUGUAAUGUCUGCAGUGGCAAGGAAAGCCCAGGACGAGCAGGAAGUGACUGGUCACAUUCUAUCAGCACACAGGACACAGAACAGGCAGUGGAGCACGGCUCUGUCACAUCAAAGCAAGGCUCUGCCUCCUAAAUAUUCCAUAACUCUGCCACCAACACUGCCACCAACUGGGGAGCGGAUGUCUUAAUCUAUGCGUCCAUGGAGGUCAUUACAAUGAUAUCAGGCUCCUCGCAUCUAUCACGUGCAUCCUGUUGCUCGGUACAGCUUGUUACUUGACUACAAUAACAGACAUCUUCAUUCUUUGUUUACCCACAAUGCGUAUCUAGAAUUACACUUCUGAGGUCUAUAAUGAAAUUUUGAUAGAUAAUCAGAAACAUCUCAAGUAUGAAAUCAAGUGGGUUUUAAACCCCUCAGUGAUCAUGGACUUUCCUCAUGGGUGGUAAAGAUUAGAUAGGUGAUGCUCACACCCCUUGUCUUCUAGAUAUGUUAUUUCUGAUUUAAAAAACACCAACUCUAUUCAGAAAUGUCACAUUUCAGUGGUGCCCAGCAGUGUCCUAAGUAAGAACAUCAUGAGGUGUAUAGGGCAGGAGUUUUCAGUCACCCCGUGUGUAAAUUGAAGACUUGGGGGGCAGCUCUUGACCCAGAUCUUUCUCUCCCGAAGGGGGGCCCUGCCUUGGUCCCUGAAUACCCACACCAGCAGUGCUGCCAGCUCAGAGAGUCUAUGAAAUUUUGAUGUAGAAAUUAGGUUGUUGCUUAUCUCGUACCUUCCUGCUCAUAGUAUUGACAGCACUGGAAUUGCUAGAGGCAGAUAGCAUCUCUGUGAGGGCUGGGCUGUUUCAGCUUUCCGCUGCUGACAACAUCAGAAGUGUUUUAACAGGGUUUUAAUGGGCAGCCCCUGUAGAUCCUUGGAGGGUUGCAAAUAGCUGCCGUGAGAAACCAUCUCCGCUGUUCUGGGCUGACAUGCCCUCUUUUCUCAUCCGUCCAACUGCCGCUUAUUUAGAUGGUCGCCUUCCUGGUGACAAGCACUUCUUAUUUGGGCUGUGGAGGGCUAGGGCUUGAAUUCCAGCGAUGUGAGUGUGAUAUAACAAAGGAAAGGUCUUCUAAGGACGAUUUCUUUCCAUCCUGAUGGGGGCAGGGAAAAAAGGGGGGGUCACAUGGGGUACACAUAGGGCAAGAAAUAGGGUCUAGUUAGAAAAACAUCUGCUGUUCCCAGAACUUUCAGAGAAAAAUCUUGGUGUGUCAUUGCAACUGAAGUUUCCAUUUUUGAUGGAGUCACAGGAGUCUACCGACUGCCAUUCUUAAAGCCCAUUUUGUAGCUCACCCAGUCUGAACAUUUAUUUCAUGGCUGCCAGGCAUGCAAAGGAGGAAAGCUACAUCUCCAUACGAGGCGAUGCCUGUGGGGUUUUCUCUCAUCUUAGGUCCAGUCCUGAGAGGCAAAGCAGGCUGUGUCCACUUGGAUUCUGUUAUCUCAGUCAGCAACAUCAGAUCCUAGGAUGAAGAAUGGGUGGCUGCUCUCCCUAGAAUCCUUCUUACCAAAACAGUGGCAUAGUGAAGUGAGGUGAGAGUGACCCAGGCUGAUUCCCUGCCAGCCACACCAGAGUUCUCACACCUGCACCAAAGAACAGCAGAGCAGCCACCAAGGAACCAGGGUGAAAAUGGAAGAAAAUGGUGGCAAAGCCUAGUCAAGAGGGACCUCUGGAAGAAAGGUGUGUGCCCUGCCUCUAGGAGGUGUGUGCACUCACUGUGGGAUCCAGGGUCUGGGAGGUCCCGUGGGGUCAGACCCCACAACUGACAUUGUUUCUCUGCAUUGCUUUUCUUCUCAGAGGCACUGUCUGGCAGCUUCUCAGUGAGAGCUAAGAACAUUCCCUCCUAAGUGUCAGAGCCAGACCCUUCACUUCAGGCUCUACCUACUUAGAAUUGGUUUUUAUCAUUAUCACUCUCGGCAGCGUUUUCAGGCUGCCUGAGAAAAGGCUCCUGUCAGACACUUAGGGCCAUUUCAUAGUGUCCUCGUUCUAAAGCACGCUGACAGUCUUGGGUUAUCGUCUGCCCUUUGGAGAUUUAAGAUUCUUAACUGUUGUCACCAGCAGAGGCAUGACUUUAGCUAUUAAGAGAUAAAUCUGAUUAUCGAGACUAGAAGGCAAAAGAAGCCAUUACACCUCUGGGCUGUGUUCUCAGAUUCUUGGAAAACCUAAGCCUUGUCUGCACUUCACAUUCUUACAUUGAGCACUCCUUCUAAAGCUGGGGUACUGAUCCUGGGGUACUUCUAGAACUGUUACAGCCCCUACCCCCCAACUAUGAACAUGGAAAAGGUCCUGUGAGAUGUGCCUGGCUUGGGAUCCUUUGCAAGGCACCUUGUAAAGAAAACAAGCCAGUUGCUAUGGUGAAUACUUGUUUAAUCUCAGCCUUAGGAGGCGGAGGCAGGCAGAUCUCUGUAAAUUCAAAGCUAGCCUCAUCUACUUAGUGAGUUCAGGUCAGCCAGAGCUACAUAGUAAGACCCUAAUUUGCCAUUGUGUACAUGUAACUGGCAUUCACUAAAUGUGGAUUUUAGGGAAACUGUGAGCUGUCAGGCUGGUUUGGGCUCUCCUGCCCCAGCCUUCCUUGCUGGAACAUUACAGAGGCAACUGAAUCCACCUCAGUACAUCUCCCACUGAACGUGGGGAGAAAAUUAUUAAAGCAAGAACCCCUUUAUUCAAAUAUGAACCUUUAAGCCUACUCACCCACCCAAGAACAAGAUCUUUCCAAGUCAUGUAUACCUCCUAGCACAUCCCUCUAGCUCCGCCUGAAACUCAAGGGUAGCCAAGGCUGCAGUGUGUUAAUGACUGCAAUGCUCAUGUGAAUCAGAAGGCACUGUUGCAAAGCUUUCUGCCCCACCCUAUCGCUCCUACAGCCUUUCGGUUGUGUUCUCUAGAACUUGACAGAGGUUUCACCUGUUGUAAUGUUACUAAUGGGAUGACUGUUGAGUUAGUAAAGGAAUGGGGCAGAAAAGACAGAUGCAUCAAGAAAAAAGGCAACGGUGGCAGCAUGUCUCCAGCAGACCAAGACAGGAAAGCACAAGUGGGGCGCCAGAGGGAAAGGACGAGGACUAAGGGCCUGUGAGCCUAGGAACUUACAGAGGCUUGUCAGACCAGAGUCACUGUCAAGAAGCUACAUCCUUAGCUUAGAACAGCUUUGACCAGGCAGCAUGGUCUGGGCCCUCUUUCUCCAGGUCCCAAUUUUCUUUGUAAAAAUGAAAAUGUAGUCUUUCCUCAGUGGAGGGGGGUGGAGACAGAGACAGACAGAGAGAGACAGACAGAGAGAGACUGACCAGCUCUAUAUUGCCUGAGGUGGAAAUGUCCUUGUCCCUCUGAUGUCUCCCUGUAAAAUGUCAUUCUCCGGCCUCAUGUCACUCAAGAAGAGUAAUUUUCCAUUUUUAUCCUGUGACCCACUAUUCUUGGAUAAGGGGAAGCAGGGUGCUCUGUGACCCCAGGCUGGUAGAUGUUUGGGUUUGUUUGGCUGGCUUUAUUUUGGUUCUGACCUUAGUACCAGCCCUGAGUUUUCACGGAGCCCCUGGGUUCUGCCUCCCAGCUGCUGGGAUCACAGGUGUGCUCCUGGUUGUGUUGUGUUCUGAGGGUUACUUCAGUCGCCUCCACUCCAGUAGAUCCCCACUGCCUUCCUGUGUGCUCCCCUCUGAGAAACACUACUGGCCAAGUGAGUCUCUAGAUUUCCUUCAGUGGUGGUGUCCCACCACACCCGUCUUCCCCCUUGCCAGUUUCCCAUUGGACUAUUAUAGUUUCCAAACGUGAAGAAUACCAACAUAGCAUCCACCAGCCUUCCCUUUUACAACUGUGUUUGGCAAUUGUGGGACACAUUUCUUGCUAAGAUUAAUUUUCCUUCCAAUAUAUGACAGGGUGCAGAGUCUUAAAAAUAUAAAUACUUAAACCAUUACAAACCAUUAUUUUUUAUCAAGUUCUGGACAGUUUGCUGUUAACCUCACCCCUCUCUAGUGUUCUCUGGUGUGUUGUGCCCUCAAGCCGGGCAUUUUCCUGUUUUCUUUACCAUUUGCUGGUGUCCAGGUGAAAACUGUCUUUAACCAUGGUCAUUAUUAAACAGACAUGGAGACAUUCAGCCCUUCUUUCUGCUCUGAACUUUGAGUACUAAAGUGGGUUACUGACAGAGCCUGAAGUCUGAGUUAGGCAGGCAAAGUGUGUGUGUUUGGCUUUGCCUGUUCUACAGGGUGUGUCAAGGACCAGAGAGGAUGGGAAGGUUUGAAAAGUCAAAAUGAAGAAUAUAUAGGGUUGCAGAGUUUCUUACAGCUAUGGAAUCAGUCAAUAGGAAGUUUGUUCAUUGAUGAGAUAGGGUCGUGCUGUGUAGCUCUGGCUGUCCUGAAACUCACUGAAUAGACUCGCCUGGCUUCAAACUCAGAAAUCCGUUUGCCUCUGCCUCUUAAGUGCUGGGAUUGAAGGCGUUUGCUGCCUGGCCAGACUGAAGACUUUUCAUCUUCUCUGCCACUUCCUUGGUCUUGGUUUUGUAGCAGGUGGUCUGUAUACCCCAGUUUCUCUGUAAACACUUAAUAUGUGAAGUUCACUUUUGGGUUUUGGAUUGGGGGUUGGUUUUGGUGGUGUUUGGGUUUUUUGUUCUUUGAGAAAGACAGGGUCUUUCUAUGUUGUUCCUGCAUCCUGAGUGCUGUGGUCAUAAACAUGUACCCAGCUUCAGCAAAGUGAAUUUUAAGAAUGUAUUUCAUUUAACACAGAAUAUCUCAAAUGCUGUCAUGUUGAGAUUUAAUCAAUAUAAAAGCUAUCCAUGAAUAUGUUGGAUUUUUUUAAUGCUCAGUUUUCUAGCCCACUAUAUAUUUAGAUUUACAGUACAUUGCCCUCAGACUGGACUAUUUUAGAAGCUUCAUAGCCACUUACUGCUUAGCACAGAGCUAGAAACAGACCCCACAUUCUGCUCUCUUCUAUUCGCCUGCUCUACCUUUAUGCACGUGAAGGGAAACACUAGGCUUGACCUCAGUCCUGGCUUGCUGAUAGCUCUGUGGACCAUUUAUAGAUGUUCUGACGUGGCAGAAGUUAAUCAGAAUAAAUUUUGCUCAGCAUCAUUAGCAAGAGAUUUGUAAGCAGUUCUAUAGUGAGAAAGCCAACACUGUAGCAAGUCUCUCCUUGUGGACUUAAGAUUUUCUCCUUUCUUUCCUGGCCAUGCCUGCCUUCGCCUUUGGGUCUAAUGACCUUGGAAGAGCACAGAUUACAUGCUAAAUAUGUUACCUCUCUUCACUUUAGCAAGUGACCUUCCGAAUUGCCAGCACCGAUCUAAUUCCAAUCACUUCUAAAGUUUACCUUUUACACUUGUGUUGGUUUUAGCCAGUGGCUAUUGUGUCAAAGGUCAUGAACUUGUCCACUUCCUCACAGAGAUUCUCAGUAUGGUGUCCGGGUGCCAAGAUCGUUCUGUGUCUGCUUGUUUGAUUCUGCUGCCACUGAUCUGCUCAUAAAAUCAAAAGGGCCUUUAUUAUUUCAGUAACAGCAGUGAGGGGAGAGGAGAAAUGAGCAGAACAGAGCUUGGCAUCUUGAUUAUUCUUAAAUCUUUCUAUAACUGUGUCUUCAUGGUUGAUAUUUUACCAGCUUAGAGCUUCUAAUUGAAAACAGAUUCCUAAUCUCUGGAUCAAGAAGCAGUGUAAACUCAGGGAACCCUAGCCCAAGUCAUUUGGAGACGCUCAGGUGUCCUUCUGUUUGAUGGUCCUGCCAUCAGUUUGCUCUCUCUGUGUCACUUACUGACUUGAAAGCUUCAUUCAGCCUAGUGUGGUGCUGAAGAAGAUACUUAUUUUUAUUUUAAAAGAGGGAAACCAAGGCAGAGAGGGUAUAGAUUAGUUAUUAGCAAUAGCUCAAAGGAUUUAUUACUUUUAUUAUUUUUUUUUUAAGUUGGCCUCACCAUGCAGCUCUGGCCAGCCUGUGACUUGCUUUGUAGCAAAGGCUGGCCUUGAACUCACAGAGAUCUGCCUGCCUCUGCCUCCUAAACUCUGAGAUUAAAGGUGCAUAUUGCCACACUCAACUAUUUUUCUUAAAUGUGGAAUUAUGGGGAAAAAAACAGACAAAGCUUUUUCUUAGCUAUGGGAUGUGUUAGAUUCCACACUGGAAACAGGUUGACGUUUGUUUUAUCACAGACUGCUCCUGUUUUGAUCAUCUAUGUUCAGAUACAGUGGACAGCCCUAAUUGACUGCUUCCACAAUUGUGCUGUACCAGGUCCCACUUUUUUCUCCUGUCAAAAUAUUCUGUAGCAUACUCAGGAAAUGUUAGUUUUUUGCUACCAGCUUUUCAAGUAAAUCCAGCUUGCUCCUCCACCAUACAGAGCCAUAUUGGAAGAAUUUAAACUAUGCCAAUAGGUUGGGCUUUUAUUUCCAUAGUUAGAAAAGAAACUUGCACAUAAUUUUUUAAAAUGUUUUAACCUGAAGCAAGAGAGAUGGGUCAUCAGUUAAGAGCACUUGUUGCUCUUGCAAAGGACUGGAAUUUAGUUCCCUGCACCCAUGUGGUGGCUCAAAACCACCUGUACCUCCAAUUCUGGGGAAUCUCACUCCCGCAGACUUCCUAGGCAUCAAAUUGCAUAUGGUGCACAUUGAUGCAUGCUGGUAAAACCCCAAGCUCUUUCUCCAGUUCAUGCUUGGUUUCUCCCCUCCUUUCCCCUUCUUUCCCUGCCCUUCUCCCACUUCCACUAACAGACCUUGACUCCUGUUUGUAGAACCUGGGCUUUAGUUGAACUGCUUUAAUGAGAGGGAAAUCCUUUACUGUUUUUAUUUGAGAUUCUCUUAAGCCCAGUUAUACUGAAACCUAUGGAGACUGCAGGCAUUCUGGAAUCUCUAAGCUAAUGCUGCCUGCACAGGAAACUAUAAUUUAUCAUGUUUUUGAGGCAGGCCCAGUCAAAUUGGUGAAUCACUUUCUUAUGCUUCUGAAUUCUUCAUGUAAAUACUGCUGUUUGGUUUCAGACCCUGGGACAAGGGACUGAGGCUCAUAUUUUACGUACCAAAGCAGACCUGACCUCCAGGUUCUCCCAGCAUCCCUCAGUACCUACCUGGCAUACCCUGCCCCCAACCUUGAACUUUCCAGCCCAAAGGGGUUGGGCUGCCCUUCCCCAAGAGGCUCUUCCCUACAUCUUUCCCAGACAUUUUGGUCUUUCUCUUCUCUUUCUCUUUUCUCUCUGCUCACAUGCCCUUUCUUUCUUUCUCUUCUCCCCUGCCCCUCUUGGAGACUAACCUGGACUCAAUCCUUGGGGCCAGUGAACUUGCCAGAACAGCUUCCCAGUAAACAUGUCUUUAAUAUAAUCAAUCUGUUUAAAGUAGCUCUUUUCACCAGCACAGAAUAGCAAUGGCAGAGAGCUGUGAACUGUAUCUCUUUUGACCAGACCCUGGUUGAAACCACAACCUAUCAGGAUUUUAUUCAGAAAAUUCCUGUUCCUAUAUUACACAUACAUGUAGGAAUUACAUUUCUGUCUUUGCUCCAUUUCACAGAGCAAAAACAGGUUAAUAAAGACUUUAAGAACUGCCUUAGUGCCCUGCAUGUGGCAAAGCCAUUUAACCUGGUCCCUCCUUCAGGUCUGAAAUGCAGAACUAAGCUCGACAUUUCGUAAUCACAUCUUCAGAAGAGGUAAAGAGGCAGUGGUGCUGUGGCUUGUCUUACAGCGUGCUGCUGUGUGUUCUCUAUAGCCUAGGGGUUCCUUAUUCUGGAUGGAAUGUACCUUUGUAACUGUGGGGACUGAUGGUAGCAUUUUAGAAUUAGAUACACUUCAAUGAAAGGGUCAUUUCCCUAAAUAUUAUUAUCUGACAAAGUGGGAGAUUAUUUUUCUUUUAAUUUUGGAACUCCUUGGAAUAUUACAGUUUUCACAGUCCCUGGUACACACCCCUAACUUCUGACAACCUAGGGCCAGUGUUCUCUUAAGCGGAGAGAAGCCUAUGGGUGCCUAGCAUGUGCAAAGCCUUAGGUUCAGUCCCUAACACUUCAUAAACCAGGCCUGGUGCACAUACCUAUAACCUCAGAGCCUGGCAAGUGAAAGCUGAACAGGCAGUUUGGCUACAGAGUACAUCUGAGGCCAACCUGGGUUACGUGAGUCUUUGUCUAAGAACAGGGGGCUGGGACCAACAUGAUGGACAGUUCCUUCAAGCCCAUUUCAGUCUGGGUUGAGUGUUCCCCCUCUUCUUAUGCACAUUUGAGCCCCUGCAGAGAUGACGGUUAUUAUCAUCAUUACAGUAUCUUCCUUAUCGUUAUUUGAGAAUCACGUAUCUGCUUAACAUAUCACUACUGCCGGACUCGAGCUAGUAAAAGUACUUUGUCUGUCUCAGUUGGGAAUUUCACGGAAUUUGCUUCAGUCUGACUGUGUUUCCAGAUGGAGCCCUGUGCCUCUGUGUUGGUUUCAGGCCUAGAAGAAGCCAUUGCUUUGCAGUGAUCUGUAGCCAAGUGACAGUCCCUGGGGACUAAAGGGGUGACUAUUAGGAGUAGGAGUGUGAUAAACCUUGUUAUUACUUAAGAAGGCUCUAAGAAUCCCUCCCCCACCCCUCUGUAUUAUCUGGCUGUGCUCUUAAGGGAAUGAUGGAAGCCAGGGUGGGAUAAUGAAGGUUAGAGCUGAUGGGGCAGGUUCUGACAGCCCAAGUCUCCCCUCGGAAGCUUCACACCUUUGCGCUCCAGGGAAGUUUUGACCCCAAGCUUUUACAGAUCCCUAGUAAACUCUGAGUUUCCCAGACCCUUGUGUGGCUAAUGUCUUUUGCAGAAACAAGUUUCUAGCUGAAACCAGCCCAUCAGCCCAGCUCCUCAUAGGCUAUAAUCCAGUUUUGGAAGAGAAUGUUAGCCUGGCCUUCUGUGCUAGGUAAAUAUUCCUAUGAAGUGUUUCAACUGUAUCUUCCCUGUCAAGACUGAGUAAAGAGAGGACCCAAACAAGGGGUAAGCCCACCUGCUCCAUAUCUGGAGCCUGAAUGGGGCUGGAAGACCGGAGAAGGGCUCUAGGAACCCUCCCCAGUUCACCGAGGGACUCUGGGCUGGCUGCAGCCUUUGUCCCUCCAGUUUUUGUUUUGUUUUUCUUGUGUAACUUAAAAAUGAAAGGUCGGGCAAAUUCUUUCACUUUUAAGUCUGCCUCUCAUCCUGUCUCUCUGAACGCAGAUGCUGUUUUCUAGUAGUUUUGCACAGGACUCCAAGCAGAAGGAGAGGAGAACUUGGUGAAGGAGGUGCUGAGAGGACCCUCUCUGGCUCCUCUGUGCUCUGUGUGCUCUGUUGCUCUGUUUUUUGUCGAGCUUUCUUCCAACUGCACCACUCCAUAAUUCUGAUGAAAGCGAAUUGAGUCUUAGGAAUGUUUUUUCUUUUUACUCUCUCCCCACAUCAGGAAGGAGGAAGGAGAGAUACCAUGAGCUGCACUGUGACUUCAGGUAGCUGUAGCUGUGAUUCAUUAACACAAAGGUCUAAGCCUGCGGAAGUCACAGAUUUACAGCAGAAACCUCUCUUCCUGAGGAAAGAGGAGAUGGAUACUCUGAAACUUGCUCGACUCUGCCCACUUGGUCCUACCUAGUUCCUACCUCCCUCCUAUGUUUCCCAAGACCCUGUGUCCGUAGCACUAGGAGGGCUCUGGACUUUUGACCUAGAAAGGAUUGCCUUGGUUCCCCAUGUCCUCCUCUCUGACUGUGAGCAGGCUGACAUGUUCUGAUUCCUACCCAUCUCAACAAAGACCUUUGAGACUUGUAAAUGGCUGUAUAAGACUAAAACCUCCGCCCUCCCUCCAGAGGAAAGGGCUGUCCUCCUCUGGGGUGCCCUGUGGCUGCCCACACAAUGACUGCUGGGAGGAGAUGACACCUCCAUGUCCAGAUUGCCAUGCAGUCUCAUUCGCAGUUUCCUGGAUCGCAUCACCUUAUCAGCCAUGUUCCCGUCCAUGGCUGAUGAUUCUGCUCACCCUGAGCUGUGGUGUUGACCAGCCAACAGCGUUCACACUGAUUGUGAACGCCACAUGUCUGACUCCAAACUUCCCACCGAGAAGGAAUACAGUGUUUUCUAGGUCAGCCCUGCUCUGUCCCAGGCACUUCAGAUGUGUUGGCUCCUCCAGGCUCUAUGACUGGCUGGGUAAAGGCUGGAAGACAGAAUAGGUGCAGGAUUUCCAGUCUUUCUCCAGUAUUUAUAGCCAAUGGAUUGCAGACAGGCGGGCUGCCCUGGUCCCGAAUGAGUAUCUUUUGUCUGAAAUGGACAAGUUGGAGAAUUUGGCAUUUUUGACAAAUGAGUUAAGCCACUUGAGUUGCUCGUGCACGGAUGUGAUGGUUUGGCAGGUGGAGUUAUUCUAUUAUGUUAAAAUUUAUUAACAAGGGCUUAAUUUCAUUCCAAACAGAUUGUGUCAAGGCGCCCGUGUACUGCGGAAUACAGUGAAAUAUGAGAGUCUUGAGCUUUUAGUGGAUGUUGAGUGCAAGACCCUGGCUCAGCCUACCUCUCUCUAAGCAGCCACAGCCACGAAACUUUCUUGACCUUUUCACCCUUCAACUUUGCUUGAACUUGAAAGACUUUUGAAGACAGAGAGAGAGAGAGAGAAGAGGGGGGUUUGGUUGGUGGGGGGAGAGGUUGGUUGGUUGGUUGGUGAAGGCUGUGGAAGAGAGAUGUAGACUGGGGUGGGGGUACUGAUUAUAUGUUAGCUAACAGUAAUACCAGGAAAAUAAUCCUCCUCUGUGUAUGAGUUUCUGCUACUGCGAGCUGGGGUAAUCAGCUCACAUGACAUGCUCAGAGGCUAAUGCUAGCCUGUGCUGUUUGUGAGCGUAUUCAAACAAAGGCUGAUUAUCCAAACAAGAAUUUGGACUGCAGCAGUCGGACCAGUUAAAUUAUAGUUAGUAAAACUUGGCGCCUUGCGAGCUUGGAAUGUUCCAAUUGCAGCUGGAUCUUCAUUUGUCAGGCAGCCUCACUAAACAGUAAAACCAGAGAUUUUUAUCUCCCCAGGACUCCAUUUAACUCCUUGGGUGCAAAGAGCAGCGUGCCAACUAUCUUAGUUUGGACUCCUGGCCACUUCCCCAUCCUGCGGUGCCUGAGGUGAUGACCAGCAGUUGUUUGCUGCUGCUCUGUCAGAAGGUGGAUUUUAUACUAGAGAAAGAAGUUGAUAUUCUUCUAGUCCAUAACUGCUUUAUUAAGUGCUAUAACUGAGGAUGCUUCGUGCUGGGUACUCUGUUUUAUGUGAAUGGCCACAAUAGAUGUCAUAAAAUAACCAACUGUAAAAAGCUUACAAAAACUGGACAAUGGUGGCGUACUACUUUAACCUUAGCCCUUGGGAGGCAGAGGCAGGCAGGUAUUGAGUUUGAAGCCAACCUGAUCUGCACAGCAAGUUCUAGGCCAGUGAGGGUGACAUAGUGAGACCUUCCCUUCAACAAAAAUUACUUUAGAAAUCGUAAGAGUCAUUUAGUGUCACGGCGAUGGAGAUGAGUGUUUGAGCCACUAUGGAUGGAAAGUAGGACCAACCUUCGAAGGUGGGACCAGAGGAGAUUUUAUGCAGAGCAAGCAAGAGCAAAGGGACUGAGGCAGGAAAUACAGUGUGAGAGAGUAGGUCAGGGGUUCAGAAGAGAACUGCCCUGGUAAAGGAAGAAGCGGCCAUCCAAGUUUUUUUUUUUUUUUUUUUUGAUAUAGCUGUCUUUAAUAAACAUAUAUUGGGAACAUACCAUAUGCCAGGACAUUAAAUUCUCAAAAUAAUUCUGAGAGACUCAAAGAAACCUAGUGACUUUCCCAAUUCCAUACAACAAGAGUGGUGUUUUAAACUUCAAAUCCCUCCCAGCUUCUCAGGACCAGGCUCUCCUCUUUAAUCCUGCUGACUUUGUGAUCAAAGUAUAGCAUGGACUAGGCAUGCUUUCAUGCAGAGGCCUCCGUGUAGAAUGGCGAUUCUGAGAGGAUUUCUGUGCAUGGGAGAUCGCCACACUGGAGAAGACAUGGGCAGGACAGUUGCCACCCUGCACUGGUUUAAACUUGUGGGAUGCAAAGCGAUUCUGGGAACAGUACUUCCCUUUGACUGACUCUGUCACAGUCUGGUCUUAGAGUUACUUCCCACAGAGAUUUUAACGCAGUAAGAGCUGAUUUUGGCAGGGUAUCGGUCUUUACGGCAGGGUUGCCUUUUCUGGGAAAUACAUCUGAUGCCGUUAGUGUAUGGCUCUCUGCUUCCCAGUUUCCGUGGGGUAUCAGCACCGUGUUCUUGUCCUCUCUUGACCUUGCCACUGUCUUGUUUUCUUUCCUGUCUUCUUUGAUAUACUCUGUUAUUGUAAGCCAGGCUGUGGCUUCUGGGAGGGGUGAUUGGCAGGGUCAGGGAGACUUAAGCACUGAGACGUGUGUCCCAGAGGUGGAAGCCAGAUUUCCUCUCAGGGCCCCGAGGCCAAGCUCCCGUGACGGCUUUAUGGGCUAGAAAUAGCAAAAUCAAAAUGGAUAUUGCAGAGUCCAGACACGCAAAUAAGAAAUCCAAAUGCUUGGAAACCUAAGAUUUUAAAUUUUUAUCGGUAUUUUUUUUUCACAAUUGAAGCAAACUAGUGUACCUCCAAGUCAGCUUCUCCUCUGAACAGUAGGCAUGGUGGGGGUACAGUUCUUCCGAGCUGAUUUUCUCCAUUCCGUUUUGUGAAGUGAAGGCACAAGCCAACCGGCACCACCAUCUUUGAUCAGCUGAGAGGACAGCUCUCUGCAUGUGGAGUUUAGAGCACAGAUCUUCACUUCCAUGGAAGCCCCAUUGAAGAUGCCCAUUUACCCUCGAGGGAAGCCUGGUUGUGAGCUUCUGGAACUCUACAGGUUUCCAGGUUUGGGAUACUGGUUUUACUUAGUCCACAAAGCUCUUAGGCGAUAGCUCCGAGCCCCUCAGAGAUGCUAUUACAAGUGCAGGGAGCAUCUCUCUUUGUCCUGCAGUGUUGGUGGAGUGUGGUAGUCUAAGGAUGAGUUACUUUCCCCGUCUGAUGUUGAUCAUCUCUCUGUUAUCAGUGGCUGGAAGAUUAACACAGAAAGGACUUGGUUCCCUCUGGUGAUCAUGUUUCAGCACCUCACUCAGGAGUAGCAGAGGAUAACAUGCAACUGUUAAGAUCUCGAUCAUGCUAAAAGUAUUAAACUUGGCUUUCAGAGAUUAGCUUUUUCCUACUUAAAAUUAAGAACUCAAAGAUUUUAAUCAAGAUAAUCCUAAAAUGUCUUAAGGUACAACUUUCUCUAGGGGUGAUACACUUGGAAUAGUAAAGACCAAGGGAGGGGUGUGGGUUAAUGUUUACUCUUUUAUUACUAUUUUAAUCAAAUGGCUUUACAACUUGACCUUUUAAAUGUGAAAAUGUUUCUUUAAGAGAACACUCAGGUGUGGGCAACAUCAUUGCUGUGUUGAAAGUUCACAGCCCUAGACGCCUUUUCCUUGCAUCUUAAAUAUUUUUUGGAAAGUAUGUUUCGCUCGGGGUUCACAUUCUCCUGAUAUUUGGGGGUAGGUAAGAAUGCCAUCUGGGUGAGACACACAUGCACGCACACACGCAGGCAGGCACGCAUACAUGUGAGGCUCCUCUAGUGUGUAGUUUCUUAUUUUCACAGUAAUCCUGCCAGACAGAAUAAUGUUUUUGUUUCAUAGAUAAGAAGGCUGACCUGGGGACUGGAGAAAUGGCUCAGUGGUUAAGAGCACCCGACUGCUCUUCCAGAGGCCCUGAGUUCAAAUCCCAGCAACCACAUGGUGGCUCACAACCAUCUGUAAUGGGGUCUAAUGCCCUCUUCUGGUAUGUCUGAAGACAGCUACAGUGUACUUGUAUAUAAUAAAUAAAUCCUUAAAAAAAAAAUCUUUAAAAAAAAAAGAAGGCUGACCUGUAGAGGAUACAUAGUAGGAACAGACUUUGAAGCUGGGUUCUAGAGACUCAAAUCCAUAGGCUUUUCACUGCACCGUGACACUGAAAGGAACACAUUUGAGCUGCUGUUCUUUAAGCUUUUUAGUGCCAGGUGGUGCCACACAUUGGUCGUCUCAGCACUCAGGAUAUAAGAAAGGAAAAAAAGCAAGGAGGAGGAGAAGGAAGAUGUAUGGACUUGGGUUGGAUGAGGUCGUUUGUGUUACUUAGGAGGUGAGCCAAGAAGUCAGGAGCCCAGGACCAACCUGUCUACUUGUUUUCUGCUACAAUGUAAAUUGUAGCCAGCAGCAGCAGCCAACUGUUCGUUAAUGUGGAGGAAAUGUUAUAGUCAACGAGCCUGCUGGGCAGUGGUGGCCCAGCCUUUUAAUCUUGGCACUUGGGAGGCAGAAGCAGGUGGAUCUUUGAGAGUUCCAGGACAGCCAGGGUUACACAGACAAACGCUGUCUCGGAAAACAACAACGACUACAACAACAACAACAAGAAAUAGACAGUCAGUUUAAGAUCUAUACUUCUACUUUUUUCUCGCAGAGCGUAUUGCUUUGCCCUCAGUUUCUAGUUUUAGCCUCUGUUUCUUCUGUGGUGGUUUGAAAGAGAAUGUUCCCAUAGGCUCCGGCAUUUGAACACUUAGUCCCUGAUUAGUGAUGCCGUUUGGAGAGAAGCAGGCUAGCUGGAGGAAUGCAUCACUGUUGGUGGGCUCGAAGAGCUUAAAGUCCAUUGCACUUCCAGAAUUCUCUUGUGGUUAAGCAUGUGGUCUCUCAGCUUCCCUCUCCUGACAUUAUGUCUGCCCCUUGCUGUUGUCAUGCCUCCCCACUGUGAUGAACUUGUCCCUUUGGAACCAUAAGCCAAAAUAAAAUCUCUUCUUCUUAAAUUGCUUUUGGGCAUGGAGUUUUAUCACAGCAACAGAAUGGUAACUAAUAAUAUCUUCAGAAAAGAAUCUUUAGGCCAAACUUUUUAUUUUUAAAUCUCUACUACUUUAUUAAGACAGGUUUUUUUUCUUUCCUUCUCUUUCUUUCUUUCUUUUUUUCUUUUGUGCAGAGAUUUGGAGGGCAUCUUCCAGACAGGCUCUUGCUACCCAGCUCUGCGUAGACUAGAACUUGCUGUGUAAAACAGUCUGGCCUGGAAUUCACAGGGGUCUGUGUCCCUCUGCCUCCUGAGUGCUGGGAUGAAAGGCAUGCUCUACUGUACCUGAUGAGUUGUAGAUUUUUAAUGUAUAUAACUUGAUGAGUUUAGCAGUAAAUGUACACCCAGUGAUUCUUUAGUUUAUGUAAAUUUUAUAAUUUAUUAAAGAUGAAAGAAGCCUGAGGGAAGUAGCCAUGCUAGAGUGUUUGCUUUGUGUGACUGGCUCUGGGGUUGGUUGUUAGUCCACACAAAACUUGGUGCACACCUGUAAGGCUGAAGCUGUGGGUACAGGAGAAUCAGAAGUUCAGGGCUGUUUGAGGCCAGCCUGGAAUACAAGUGACUAUAUCUUAAAAUGUUUUCAUCAAAUUCCCAUAUGAAUUAGAUGGAUUGCUUUUUAAUCUUAUAAAACAAUUGACUCUUGCCUGAAUAUGUGAUACUAAAGAAUAUCAAGUAUACCCAACAUUUUUUCAGAGUUCAUCAAUAUUUUAAUUUUAUAAUACUGAGAAUGCUGUUCCAUGUACAGAAUGGCAGGACUCAAUUUAGGCCCUGUGAUGGCUAAUCUUGAUUGUCCACUUGAUUACAAUCUGGAAUUAACUAAAACCCAAAUGGCUAGGUGCACCUGUGAAGAAUUUUUUUUUAGUAUAUAAUUUAUUCUUAUUUUAUGUUCACUGGUGUUUUGCCUUCAUGUGUGUCUGUGUAAUGAUGUUAGAAGCCCUGGAACUGGAGUAAUGGACAGGUGUGAGCUGUCAUGUUAGUACUGGGGACUGAACCCAGGUCCUCUGGAAGAGCAGCCAGUGCUACGGCCCCAGGGAUUUUUUUUUUUCUUAAUUAAAUCAUUUGAAUUAGAAAGACCAAUGUCUACUCUGGAUUUUUGAGAUAGAAGCCGUUUAAUCUAGGCCACACCUUCUGCUGGCAGCUUCCAAGGCCGUGGAAGAAGGAAGCUGUCUUUCUCUCGGCUUGCCUGCUCUCACUCUCACUAGCAAGUCCAUUCCUUCACUAGCAUUAGAGCCUGCUUUUUGGGGAUUCCUACAUCUACUGAAGACCAGCUGAGGCACCCAACUUCCUGGCCCAAAGGACUACUGAAUUGUUGGCCAAUAGAUAGACAGCCAUAGUUGGACUAGCUGUACCACAGCCUGUAAGCUGUUCUAAUAAAUAUCAUACACACACACACACACACACACACACACACACACUCUCUCUCUCUCUCUCUCUCUCUCUCUCUCUCUCUCUCUCUCUCACUCUACAGGGCCAUUUUAAACAAUUUUAAAUGCUUUAAACCUUCUGGUAACAUUAGAGUUUCUGUUUCUAAUCUAUAAUUCAAUAAUUUUUUAAUUCAACUCAAUUCAACACCUUAAUUUUUAAAAUUUCCAUUUUAAAAUGAAAAUAUUCACUACUUAAAAAUGAAUGUUCUAUGGGGUUGGGGAUUUAGCUUAGUGGUAGAGCGCUUGCCUAGCAAGCGCAAGGCCCUGGGUUCGGUCCCCAGCUCCGAAAAAAAAAAAAAAAAAAAGAAAGAAAGAAAAAAAAAUGAAUGUUCUAACAUAACAUAGUCCAAAGACAGAUUAAUUUGUACUUGUAUGUAAAAGAAUGAUGGAGGAAAACAUUUUUAAAAAUUUCUAUAAUUAAGCAAUUGUUUCUAUAAGAGCAGAGCACAUCAGAUAUAAGGUAAAAGUGGGGCAUGCUAUAGCACAGUUGUCUGAAGUGUCUCUCUCUCUCUCUCUCUCUCUCUCUCUCUCUCUUUUUCUCUCUCUCCCUGUGUGUGUGUGUGUUUCCACAUCUUCAUGGCUUAAUCAUCUUUCAUAGACAAAGUUUUGUGCCCCAUGAAUAAUGCCUCCUAAUCUAAUCUAAUCUAAUCUCCUAAAGGUUCCAAGUAAUCACCAUGUAGAUUUUAGGUUUAUUAUGUACUGGAAUCAGGUAGGAGUCGCCUUCUGUAACUAGCUCACUUCGUUUCAUUUACCUUACAUCCAGUUUGUCAUAACUGGAAAUAUUUCUCUCUUUUUUUGAGAUGGAUGUCUCAUUGGAUCUGUGUAUUAUAUUUUCAUUAUCCAUUAUCCUUUGUAAAUAGGUGUUCAAUUUGCCUCUGUGUUCUGAUGACUGUGACAAAUGCUAGGCUGAGGGCAGGAAGACAGGUCUCUCACCAAAACCCAGAUCUCUGUUGUUUUUUGAUAGGUACCCAGAAGUAGAGUUACUAGAUUUUUAAUUUGAAAAAAAGCUAAGGUGCCCUAUACUGUUUUCACAUCAGUUCACCAGCUCACGUUGCCACUCACAGCUCCACUGCGUCCCUUUCCUAUGCGCAGUCACUUGUGCAUGUGUUGUAAUAGCUAUCACCGGUGAGGUAAGAGCAGGGACGGUGUUUGGAUCGGAGUUCUCCUGAUUAGUGAUGUGGAGCACACUUUAGUACUUAUCUAUUUCCUUUGUGAACCUGGGAUGAGGGUUGCUAAAAAUGACUAAAGUCUCAUACAAUAGACACCUUAUUCAGAACAUCAGACAAUUUAUACCCAGAGGAUUACAAAAGGUCAGCUGAGUAGGCUCAUGAGUUCACACUGUCUGCAGUCACAAGGAUAUGAGGAAUACCAGCUGCCGGAAACCCACUCUUCUCCAAGACACCUGAGGAGCACGGAAACACAGUCUAAGAACACUUCUGUCAUUUGAAGAAACUGAGGUCACAAGACUCUUGUUUUCCUGUAACCUUAUCACAAGCACUAAGAAUUGACCUUUCACGAAUCCAUCCUUGGACCCCGUCCCAACACUUAUUGGCCAGUUUCUCUUUUUUUUAAGCUGGGUUUCACUAUGUAGUCCAGGCUGACCUUCACUGUGUAGUCCAGGCUGGCCUUAAGCUCACCAUCCUCCCACUUCAGAGUGUAGAAUUACAGAAUCAAACCAAUCCGAAUGUGGUGGUACAGACCUGUAGUCGAAGGUAACUUACACACUUGUAACUAUGUUAAGAACAUGUCCUAAACAAGUGUGGUAGUUUGCAUAUGCUUGGCUCAGGGAGUGGCACUAUUAGGAGGUGGGGCCCUGUUGGAGUAGGUGUGUCACUGUGGGUGUGGGCUUUAAGACCCUCACCAUAGCUGCCUGGAAGUUAGUCUUCCACCAGCAGCCUUCAGAUGAAGAUGCAGAACUCUCAGCUCCUCCUGUACCAUACCUGCCUGGAUUCGGCCAUGUUCCUACCUUGAUGAUUCUGCACUGAGCUUCUGAACCUGUAAGUCAGCCCAGUUAGAUGUUGUCUUUUGUAAGACUUGCCUUGGUCAUGGUGUCUGUUCACGGAAGGAAAGCCUUCACAAGACAACAGGCUGGUGUCCAUAGAAGCUGCACUCUGAAAGCUCCAGGGCUUUGCUACACUUCCUUUGUCCUGGCUGCUGCUCCUGUUGCCUCUUCCACUGCACGGCCAUCCAACAGCCAUUGCCAAGGCCAGCCCCACUGCCUCUUCUGGUUUUCCUAUAACUUUUACCUUUUCAGGCCCUGUGUUAAAGGAGGGUUUUGUACAUGGUACAUAAUAAGAGUUUUAAUUUCUUUUUCGGUCAGAAACUUACUGUGUAGACCAGACAGGCCUCAAACUCAAAGACAUCUGCCUACCACUGCCUCCCUAGUGCUAGGAUUAAAGGCAUACCUGACCCAAUUUCAUUCUUACUAAGAAAUUAAAUUAUAAUCUUAUAUCUUUUAUCCCAAGUUACCUGUUUCAGUUUCUCCCUAAACUUAACAGUAGAUAAAAAUGAUUUUCCGGGGCUGGGGAUUUAGCUCAGUGGUUAGAGCGCUUACCUAGGAAGCGCAAGGCCCUGGGUUCGGUCCCCAGCUCCGAAAAAAAGAACCAAAAAAAAAAAAAAAAAAAAAAGAUUUUCCAUGAAACUCCUCUCAGAGAAGAAGCCCAGACCCAGAUUCUGAGUCCUCUAUUCUGAUGUCCAUUCAGUUUGUCACACAGACUUGGACAACAUAGUUCCAUCUCAAGAAACUGCAGACUCAGAUCUCAGGGUGCAGCUCAGGGUGCUGGGCUGCAUUUCCAGUAACACAAGCAAAACACAAAUAUAGUGUUACUAUUGCUGUGACAAAACACCAGACAAAAGCAGCUCUUACAAGGACAGCAUUUAAUUGGAGCUGGCUUACAGAAAAGAGUCACUUGGCUUAUGCUUCCUCACUGUAGUUACCACCGAAGGAAGAGAGGGCAGGAACUGGAAGCAGGGGCUGAUGCAGGCGCUAUGGAGGGUGUGACUUACUGGCUUGCUCUCCAUGGCUUGCCCAGCCUGCUUUCUUAUAGAACCAGGACCACCAGCCCAGGCAUGGCCCCACCCACAAUGGGCUUGGCCCUCCCCCUUCAAUCACUAAUUAAGAAAAUGUCCACAGGCUUGCCUGCCUGUUAUACCAUUGUACAGAGAUGUUGUCUCAAUUGGGGUUCCCUCCUCUAAAGUGACUACAGCUAGUGUCAAAUUGACAUAAAAUUCCCGCAUACACAGCAACAACGAAACCUCGGAUACUUUCUGACUAGAGUGAGCAUCAUUGGUGUGAUCUUUAGGGUUUUCCUUUACCUGAACCAUUUCAUCCACUGCCUGAAACUUCAAAAACUGAAAGGAAUAAUUGCUCACUGUGUGGAGAGCUAGGAGAUGACGGUUCACUGUUUGCUUCAACCCCCAACCCCAAAAGAGUAUGUCAAGGAUGAGACUGUGGGGUUGGGGAUUUAGCUCAGUGAUAGAGCAUUUGCCUAGCAAGGGCAAGGCCCUGAGUUCGGUCCCCAGCUCCAGAAAGGAAAAAAAAAAAAAAGGAUGAGAAUGUGGUUCAGCUGGGGGAUGCUGGCCCAGUGUGCAGGGAUUCUUGGUUUUGAGCUUCAGCAUCCCAUGUGCUGGUCAUGGUGAUAUGUGGUACAUGCCUGCAGUCCCAGCCCUGGGAGUCGGAGGCAGGCAGGUAAGGAGCUCAAGGCCAUCCUCAGUUACACAGUAACUUCAAACCCAGAGCAUUUAAAAGCCAUGUUUUCCUCCCAAGUCACAUUUGUUAUAGGAAAAAUAUAAAGGCAAAUAGAAGGAAGUUGAAGAUACUUAAAAUUCCUUUGUUGAUACCGUUUAAUGUCAUUGUUAACAAGCACAUACUCCAGCUUUAGAGUCUGUGCCAGUCUUUUGAAAGGUAUUAACUAAAAGACAAAGAAAUUAGGUUUCAGUGGGGUAAGGUGGGAAGUAAUAGAGGAACCCUUUCAGUCUCAAAAGAUGGUGUGGGUAAGUGAAUGAGUUUGGAGACACAGUGACUAGGAGUUAUUAAAAAUUACCUCAUCCAAGAACAGUGUGGGAAAGUACCUCAUUGUCAGAUCCUUCACUCAUUCUUCCAGUAAAAAUGAAAAAAAAAAAAAAAAAAGAAACCAACUCACGGGGCUGGAGAGAUGGCUCAGAGGUUAAGAGCACCUGACUGCUCUUCCAGAGGUCAUGAGUUCAAUUCCCAGCAACCACAUGGUGGCUCACAACCAUCUGUAAAGAGAUCCGAUGCCCUCUUCUGGUGUAUCUGAAGACAGCUACAGUGUACUUAUAUAUAAUAAAUAAAUAAAUCUUUAAAAAAAAAAAAAAAGAAAGAAACCAACUCACUUUAUGUGUUUGUGUACAUCUGAGUGCAUGGGUGUUUGUUAUGAAUGCAGUUCCUGUGCAGUCCAGGAGAGGGUGUCAGAUCCCGAGGAGUGGGAGUUACAGACAGUUGUGAGCCACCAUGUGGGUGCUGGUCCUCUUGCAAGAGCAACAAGUGCUCUUAACCACUGGGCAUUUAGAAGAAAGAGAUACUAAGUUUGACCUGAUGGCACAUGAUGGUAAAUUCCAACACUUGCGUGUAAGAAUUCCGAGGUAACCUGGAUUUAUGAGACUCCGUUUUGAGCAGACAUUUGGAUGUAUAAAGAAGCAACAGGAUGCGGCUGAUCUACUUCCCACUCGGUGGUGUUUCUAAUUUGCCAUUCACCUUUCUCGGUGGAGCCUGAAAGACUACAAGGAAGUAUUUAAUCAAAUAUUAUUGAUCUAUAUAACAUUGCUUGUUUUAAAAAGGUGUCCCCAGACCAUCUGGUGUCAAUGGGCUGUUCUCUUUAGUAGAGAAUUUUAUGUGCCCAAACUGAAGUUAUGGGGGUCUUCUGUGCCCGCCUGUGUGCAGAUGAAGAGCUUUAACCUAGCCCUUAAAAAAACUCAGCUCCCAAGGGAUCCUAAAGCUACCUCUUGUUUCUUCAUCUCAAGGUGUUGUUGAAAACAAAAGCAAAAGGACUCUGUCUGCCUCCCCUGACUCCUGCCAUGCACUGGGGGCUAGUGGGCAGAUCUUAGGCUCUGUGGCAUGUUUGGUGGGGACUCAGUCCAAGGCUAAACCUUGACGUGUUAAAGAAAAGGAAGUUGGGGUGGGGGAGGUCAGAGUUGAGUAACCUGUCCAAAUUGUUCCGUGUAGGAAGUCUGGGACUGAGCCGUGCCGCUAGCGUGGCCGGAAAAACUGAUCUGUAUCCAUGCUGCUGUCUUUGAGGUACCUUCGACCGGAGCGUGACCCUGUUGGAGGUGUGUGGGAGCUGGCCUGAGGGCUUCGGGCUGCGACAUAUGUCCUCCAUGGAGCACACAGAAGAGGGCCUCCGGGAACGGCUUGCAGAUGCCAUGGCCGAGUCACCGAGCCGAGACGUUGUGGGAUCUGGAACAGGUAAA
Non-coding RNA from Rattus norvegicus (Norway rat), 32934 nucleotides. The record is from RefSeq and is a predicted model, not a curated record. NCBI's taxonomy places the organism in Eukaryota, Metazoa, Chordata, Mammalia, Rodentia, Muridae.